GGUCUCGUGGCCUAAUGGAUAAGGCAUUGGUCUUCGGAACUAAAGACUAUGAGUUCGAGUCCCAUCGAGAUCG
Perkinsus marinus ATCC 50983 is the source of this 73-nucleotide non-coding RNA. NCBI's taxonomy places the organism in Eukaryota, Perkinsozoa, Perkinsida, Perkinsidae. The record is from Rfam.